AUAUACAGACAACCUAAUUCCGCACACCCCUUCCCUCCCUCUCGAUUCAAAUCGGCGGCGGUGCUGGGUCCGGCCGACAGCGGCAGCUGCCUCCUCCUCAGAUUCAGAUCCAGUGGUAUCAAAAAAAAAAAUUCAGAUCCAGUGCCUCCCUGGCUCCCUCCCCUCCCGCCCGUUGCUCGACCCCGACCCCGACCGCCUCCUCCGCGGCUCCGGCCGUCGCGCACGCAGCUCCUUCCCUCGCCGCCGGGCGGAUCUCUCCACAGCCGUCCGCACGCGCAGCUCCUGCCCACGGUUCCGAGCGGAGCUCUCCUGCGGCCGCUCGCGAGUGGCUCCUACGCGCACCGCUGGGCGGAUCUCCCACGGCCGCUCACGCACGCAGCUUCUGCCCACGGUGCCUAGCAGAGCUCUCCCGCUCAGCCUGGCCUUCUACCAGGACAGCUCGACCAAAUGGACAGCAAGGGCAAACCAAAAAGCAGGAUUUCGUGGCCACGGUCUCUUCACCAGCGGUUCAAAUCCCCUUUUCUCUUGCUUGAUUUUUCUGAUCCAUUCAUUGGCCAUGCAGCUUGAGGUCAAGAGAAGGAUGGGACGGGGAAAUAAGAAGCCAAUCUACGUUUGUCUACUUUCUUUUUCUAAUGCUGCUGCUUCUUUUUCUAAUGCUGCUGCUUGAUUUGGACGGUGAUUCCGAGAAGCAAGUCUUGGCAUGGAGGGAAUCAUAGCUGUUCAUGGUGCUUGUAUAUGCCUCUGAAUCUUGGAGCAGAGCCUCCUCAACCUCAGUGACUGGCGCUCACAUGGAUUUCUAUUGCAUUUAUAGAAACCCAUCUGGGUGAGUGUAGAAUUUCUUUCUAUGGUCAUGUGUAGAAACCUCAUCUGGCAAGCACCAUCACUUUGGCCUAUUUUUUUAAAAUCAUAUAUAUGUUUGUGUUUGUGCAUAGAUACUAUUAGUUGACUGUGUGCCCAUGCUAUUAGUUGAUUGUGUGCCCAUGCUUGCAAUAAUAUACAUGCUAGUGUCUGAUCAUAGAUACUAUCUGUUUGCUGGUAGUCUCUUCUAUGCAUAGAUCAUAGUAUCAUACACAUGCUACCCAUGUUUUUUAUGAUUACCCUCACUGGUUUUUAUGCCUUCUGUUACCGAGGUGGGUUGCUGAGGUGGAUCCAAUUAAUGACAGCUCCCACAAUACAUCAUAUAUUUGUCUAGUAUUUUCCUCCCAUGUUUAUAUGAUCGUCCUCACUAGUUUAUGAUCACAUUCCAUUUUUGGUACUCCAUCGGAGCAUCCAUUCCUAUCAAAUGCAUGCUUCUAUGCCAAAAAAAACCCAGCUCUUAAUGUAUUGACCUGGCCAGGGCAUAAAAUUAACCAGCUUACCACCAUCCCAACAUUUGAAUGUAUGUGGAGAAUUAUAUACUAGUGUAGAGAGCCUUGUACGAUGGCAUAAACCUGUAAAGUCAAGCAUAUAAACAUGCAUCUAAUCAGACAUGAUGUUUGCCGCUUCAACACGACAUCAUUUGUUGCUUGAGCCUAACCAUGCUUCUAUGAUUUUCGUCACUGCUUUUUAUGCAUAGACACUAUAUAUCUUGAGCGUUUGAGCAUAGAUACUAACCUGUAUCUUAUGUUUCUAUGAUUGCCCUCACUGGUUUUUAUACCUUUUGUUGCUUCAUGUAGUUGCUUAGAUGUAUGUGAUUGCAAUUAUAUAUUUGUUUUGUUAUUUUUUCUCUCAUGUUUCUAUGACUGCACUCACUUAAUUUUAUGCCUUUUUAAAUUGCGAGGUGCAUUGUUGAUGAGGAUCUGCCGAAUGACGACUUUCAUAACUACAAGCUAGCAUCAUAGUCCUUACCAGCGGAGUGCAAACAUCAUUGAUUUUUGUAUUCGUAGUUUGUAUAUUUCUUAUUUCUUUUAGAAAAUUUAUGGUUCACACAACUGUACAUCUCUUUUUGUUUCAAAUUCUAGAUGGAUAUUGGUUUAUAUGCUUCCUUGUGAGGUUUAUAUGCCAUGUGAAAGUAUAAUUUGGAGAUAUAUGCACAUUUAUAUGUUUGCAUGAACA
Molecule: long non-coding RNA, 2034 nt
Organism: Panicum virgatum (switchgrass)
Lineage: Eukaryota; Viridiplantae; Streptophyta; Magnoliopsida; Poales; Poaceae
Exons: 2
Source: RefSeq, a predicted model, not a curated record